This 293-nucleotide long non-coding RNA is filed under the name Elaeis guineensis (African oil palm). RNAcentral describes it as "long non-coding RNA (EGUI_LNC053557)". The record is from RNAcentral. Lineage: Eukaryota; Viridiplantae; Streptophyta; Magnoliopsida; Arecales; Arecaceae.
UUGGCCAUGAUAAUCCUUAUGAUAUAUCACAGGAUUUGAAAAAGAUUGAAAUAUAAUAUGGAUGACUAUUCUAGGAUUAAUAGUUAAACUCUAGAUCACCUUGAGCAUUAAGGUCAAAGGGAUAAAUUAUGCGGUAACCAUAUGCUAAAGUUCUUAAAUUUUGCUUUGCAAUUGUUUGACCUAUUCAGAUAUCGGAUAGCAUUGUCAGAUAGUCACUUCAAUUAGUACAAGAAGUGAUUCCUAUGCUAUCGGCUUAGUGUUCGAACCUAUGGAGUCAUGCACAAAGUCAAACA